Molecule: ribosomal RNA, 255 nt
Filed under: uncultured bacterium
Lineage: Bacteria
Description: partial 16S ribosomal RNA
Rfam family: Bacterial small subunit ribosomal RNA
Source: RNAcentral
UACGAAGGGGGCUAGCGUUGUUCGGAUUUACUGGGCGUAAAGCGCACGUAGGCGGAUUGUUAAGUCAGGGGUGAAAUCCUGGAGCUCAACUCCAGAACUGCCUUUGAUACUGGCAAUCUUGAGUCCGGAAGAGGUGAGUGGAACUCCUAGUGUAGAGGUGGAAUUCGUAGAUAUUCGGAAGAACACCAGUGGCGAAGGCGGCCCGCUGGACAAGUAUUGACGCUGAGGUGCGAAAGCGGUGGGGAGCAAACAGGG